RNAcentral lists this transfer RNA (71 nucleotides) under Spirochaetales bacterium. RNAcentral's name for it is "tRNA-Gly". It matches the Rfam family "tRNA". From Rfam's summary of the family: Transfer RNA (tRNA) molecules are approximately 80 nucleotides in length. Their secondary structure includes four short double-helical elements and three loops (D, anti-codon, and T loops). Lineage: Bacteria; Pseudomonadati; Spirochaetota; Spirochaetia; Spirochaetales. The record is from RNAcentral.
GCGCCUGUCGUAUACCGGUAUUACCCCAGCUUCCCAAGCUGGAGAAGUGGGUUCGACUCCCAUCAGGCGCU